Molecule: ribosomal RNA, 137 nt
Filed under: uncultured bacterium
Lineage: Bacteria
Description: partial 16S ribosomal RNA
Rfam family: Bacterial small subunit ribosomal RNA
Source: RNAcentral
UGGGGGAUAUUGCACAAUGGGGGGAACCCUGAUGCAGCGACGCCGCGUGGGCGAUGGAGUGCUUCGGCAUGUAAAGCCCUAUCAGCAGGGAAGAAAAUGACGGUACCUGACUAAGAAGCCCCGGCUAAAUACGUGCC